CUUCACAGGACAAAUGCAGAGUCUUCAUGUGCUGGGAAACUCUUAAAACUAUAUUUGGACAAAAUUUGGUGAGGCUCUUUUCACAAUCUAUUGAGAGGAGCCAAAAGGGGAAGAGGAAUUAUUUGAGAUGCCUGCCACAUUUAGUCAGGAGUUUCUGAAACCCGAACCUCUAUCCUAUGUCAUCUUUGUUUCAGAAAGUCUGAUUCGUUAACAUUUCCCAUCACCUUGGGAAGAAAGCUGAGGAUUAUGGGUUCAUAUUUCUUCUGUGUGAAAGAAGAUAACAAAGGAUAAGGAAAAGACAAAAUGUGUCCUCCCACCACCAAUCCUUGACUCUACAAUUGAGGAGUUGUCAAUGGAAACACUGCAUGAAUUACAUGCAUAAAUACUGGACCUCCAGCGAUCAUCUUGAGGGUGUGAAAAGAGCUUGCAGAUGCAAACUACAUAAUAAGAAAACACAACAGAAAGAUGUAAGGAGCCAUGGUCAAUUAGGUCAUCGUGAUACCACAUUACAAUGCUGGGCUGCUUAUCACUGCAAUUUUAUUAUGAAGAGGAGAAAAAAAUAAAUUUUAUUGAAGUUGUUUCAUUGUAUCUCUGUUAUUGUAUCAGCCAAAUUGAUUUUCUAGCAGAUACAAGAUAUGUAGUGUAUACCAGUUGUUGUCUUUCUAUAACAGUAAUUUUCCUUUGGUGGAAAAGUUUGCUUCCACUAUGC
This 709-nucleotide long non-coding RNA is filed under the name Homo sapiens (human). Its description in RNAcentral is "HSALNT0139081". The record is from RNAcentral. Lineage: Eukaryota; Metazoa; Chordata; Mammalia; Primates; Hominidae.